RNAcentral lists this small nuclear RNA (93 nucleotides) under Fukomys damarensis (Damara mole-rat). The record is from RNAcentral. Lineage: Eukaryota; Metazoa; Chordata; Mammalia; Rodentia; Bathyergidae.
GUGUUACAUGAAAGAGAAGCCUUGCAUUUCCCCAGACAAGGAUGGAAGAGACCCUCGGGCCUGACAACAUACCUAUGGCCUAGACUUCUCUUU